CCUACGGGAGGCAGCAGUAGGGAAUCUUCCACAAUGGGCGAAAGCCUGAUGGAGCAACGCCGCGUGGGUGAAGAAGGUCUUCGGAUCGUAAAACCCUGUUGUUAGAGAAGAAAGUGCGUGAGAGUAACUGUUCACGUUUCGACGGUAUCUAACCAGAAAGACACGGCUAACUACGUGCCAGCAGCCGCGGGAAUACGUAGGUGGCAAGCGUUAUCCGGAUUGAUUGGGCGUAAAGGGACCGAAGGCGGUCUUUUAAGUCUGAUGUGAAAGCCUUGGGCUUAACCGGAAUAGUGCAUUGGAAACUGGGGGUCUUGAGUGCAGGAGAGGAGAGUGGAACUCCAGGUGUAGCGGUGAAAUGCGUAGAUAUAAGGAAGAACACCAGUGGCGAAGGCGGCUCUCUGGUCUGUAACUGACGCUGAGGUUCGAAAGCGUGGGUAGCAAACAGGAUUAGAUACCCGGGUAGUC
RNAcentral lists this ribosomal RNA (465 nucleotides) under uncultured bacterium. RNAcentral describes it as "partial 16S ribosomal RNA". It matches the Rfam family "Bacterial small subunit ribosomal RNA", at positions 338 to 795 of the family's 1533-position model. The record is from RNAcentral.